UUAACUCAAACUUGUAUGGAGUUGGAACAGCGCCCCUAGCAGCAAACGUAGGCAAACGUUCAAACUCCAUACAAAUUUGUAAAA
Bombyx mori (domestic silkworm) is the source of this 84-nucleotide non-coding RNA. NCBI's taxonomy places the organism in Eukaryota, Metazoa, Arthropoda, Insecta, Lepidoptera, Bombycidae. The record is from Rfam.